Molecule: ribosomal RNA, 459 nt
Filed under: uncultured bacterium
Lineage: Bacteria
Description: partial 16S ribosomal RNA
Rfam family: Bacterial small subunit ribosomal RNA
Source: RNAcentral
CCUACGGGUGGCAGCAGUGAGGAAUAUUGGUCAAUGGCCGGAAGGCUGAACCAGCCAAGCCGCGUGAAGGACGACGGUGCUAAGCAUUGUAAACUUCUUUUGUCAAGGGACAAAAUCAGGCUCGAGAGCCUGACCGAGGGUACUUGAAGAAAAAGCAUCGGCUAACUCCGUGCCAGCCGCCGCGGUAAUACGGAGGAUGCGAGCGUUAUCCGGAUUUAUUGGGUUUAAGGGGUGCGUAGGCGGACGGUUAAGUCAGCGGGAAAAGCCCGGGGCUCAACCUCGGCGAGCCGUUGAAACUGGCUGUCUAGAGAGGUCGAGAGGUAGGCGGAAGGCGCGGUGUAGCGGUGAAAUGCUUAGAUAUGGCGCAGAACUCCGAUUGCGAAGGCAGCAUACCGGCGGCGAUCUGACGCUGAGGCACGAAAGCGUGGGUAUCGAACAGGAUUAGAUACCCGAGUAGUC